RNAcentral lists this long non-coding RNA (305 nucleotides) under Phoenix dactylifera (date palm). RNAcentral's name for it is "long non-coding RNA (PDAC_LNC011248)". Lineage: Eukaryota; Viridiplantae; Streptophyta; Magnoliopsida; Arecales; Arecaceae. The record is from RNAcentral.
AGGUUUGGUUUGAAUUUCAAAUCUCUUUUACUUUAUCUCUAACGGCUAUAUUUGCUUUUUGGGCUAUAAAAGGGACCUCUUAAGUGCUUCUCAAUAACUUUUUACCAACCUAAAGCUAGAUCAUUUAAGAGAGAAGCAAGAGAGAGAAGUUCAAGGGAGUGAGUGCAUUCAAGUGAAGAAAUCAAGUGCUUUCAAGCUUCCCAAGUGAUUUCAAGCUCAACCACUCUCUUCCGCUCGGGAUUCAAAGCUCAUACUCAAGCCUACGCGAUCCACAUCGGAAGAAUCAUCAUUUCCCACGCUUCCAA